AGCGAACGCUGGCGGCAGGCCUAACACAUGCAAGUCGAACGAACUCCUCGGAGUUAGUCGCGCACGUGUGUGUAACACGUGGGAACGUGCCUUUGUGCGCGGCAUAACUCAGGGAAUCUUGUGCUAACACGGAAAGCGCUCUCCGGGGGAAAGAUUUAUCGCCAUUAGAGCGGCCCGCGUCUGAUUAGCUAGUUGGUGAGGUAACGGCUCACCAAGGCGACGAUCAGUAGCUGGUCUGAGAGGAUGACCAGCCACACUGGGACUGAGACACGGCCCAGACUCCUACGGGAGGCAGCAGUGGGGAAUCUUGCACAAUGGGCGAAAGCCUGACGCAGCCAUGCCGCGUGAAUGAUGAAGGUCUUAGGGUUGUAAAGUUCUUUUACCGGGGAAGAUAAUGACGGUACCCGAAGAAGAAGCCCCGGCUAACUUCGUG
RNAcentral lists this ribosomal RNA (433 nucleotides) under uncultured bacterium. RNAcentral's name for it is "partial 16S ribosomal RNA". It matches the Rfam family "Bacterial small subunit ribosomal RNA", at positions 29 to 507 of the family's 1533-position model. The record is from RNAcentral.